CCGAGGAGUGACGUUCACGUAGCGAAGCUCCGUGAUUAUAAUACGUCACUCCGACCUGCCGCCGAAGCGCAGCUGAGGGGCGUUACCAAAA
Molecule: small RNA, 91 nt
Filed under: unclassified sequences
Description: GA-cis RNA
Rfam family: GA-cis RNA
Source: Rfam by way of RNAcentral